UACGGAGGGGCUAGCGUUGUUCGGAAUUACUGGGCGUAAAGCGCACGUAGGCGGCUUUGUAAGUUAGAGGUGAAAGCCCGGGCUCAACUCCGGAAUUGCCUUAAGACUGCAUCGCUAGAAUUGUGGAGAGGUAAGUGGAAUUCCGAGUGUAGAGGUGAAAUUCGUAGAUAUUCGGAAGAACACCAGUGGCGAAGGCGACUUACUGGACACAUAUUGACGCUGAGUGCGAAAGCGUGGGAGCAACAG
Molecule: ribosomal RNA, 246 nt
Filed under: uncultured bacterium
Lineage: Bacteria
Description: partial 16S ribosomal RNA
Rfam family: Bacterial small subunit ribosomal RNA
Source: RNAcentral